This 484-nucleotide ribosomal RNA is filed under the name uncultured bacterium. RNAcentral describes it as "partial 16S ribosomal RNA". It matches the Rfam family "Bacterial small subunit ribosomal RNA", at positions 29 to 523 of the family's 1533-position model. The record is from RNAcentral.
AGUGAACGCUGGCGGCGUGCUUAACACAUGCAAGUCGAACGAGAACGGGUUAUAGCUUGCUAUAAUUGUCAGCUAAGUGGCGCACGGGUGAGUAAUGUAUAGGUAAUAUGCCUCUUACUAAGGGAUAACAAAUGGAAACGUUUGCUAAUACCUUAUACUCCUUAUUAACAGAAGUUAAUAAGGGAAAGAUUUAUCGGUAAGAGAUUAGCCUGUAUUGUAUCAGUUAGUUGGUGGGGUUAUGGCUUACCAAGACUAUGACACAUAACUGGUUUGAGAGGAUGAUCAGUCACACUGGAACUGAGACACGGUCCAGACUCCUACGGGAGGCAGCAGUGGGGAAUAUUGCACAAUGGACGAAAGUCUGAUGCAGCAACGCCGCGUGGAGGAUGACACAUUUCGGUGCGUAAACUCCUUUUAUAUGAGAAGAUAAUGACGGUAUUAUAUGAAUAAGCACCGGCUAACUCCGUGCCAGCCGCCGCUGUAA